GAUGAACGCUAGCGGCAGGCUUAACACAUGCAAGUCGAGGGGCAGCGCUGAGUAGCAAUACUCUGGCGGCGACCGGCGGAAAGGGUGCGUAACGCGUGAGCAACUUGCCCGUCACAGGGGGAUAACCGGUGGAAACGCCGACUAACACCCCGUAACACAUUUCGCUGCAUGGCGAGAUGUUGAAAACUGAGGUGGUGACGGAUAGGCUCGCGUGCCAUUAGCUAGUCGGCGGGGCAACGGCCCACCGAGGCGACGAUGGCUAGGGGUUCUGAGAGGAAGGCCCCCCACACUGGGACUGAGACACGGCCCAGACUCCUACGGGAGGCAGCAGUGAGGAAUAUUGGACAAUGGAGGCAACUCUGAUCCAGCCAUGCCGCGUGAAGGAACUAAGGCCCUAUGGGCUGUAAACUUCUUUAGACGCAGAGCAAUAAGGUCCCACGUGUGGACUGAUGAGAGUAUGCGUAGAAUAAGCAUCGGCUAACUCCGU
Molecule: ribosomal RNA, 487 nt
Filed under: uncultured bacterium
Lineage: Bacteria
Description: bacterial SSU rRNA
Rfam family: Bacterial small subunit ribosomal RNA
Source: RNAcentral